Pelobates cultripes (western spadefoot toad) is the source of this 242-nucleotide non-coding RNA. The record is from the annotation of a GenBank genome assembly. Lineage: Eukaryota; Metazoa; Chordata; Amphibia; Anura; Pelobatidae.
CACAAUAAAUGUUGAGAGAAAUUCUAACCAAAUUUUCAUACAGCAAGGCUUUGUUCAGAGUUAGGAUGUCAGAUGAAGCUUUCUUCUAAAAAGAUCUGUUGACUUCCACAUGCCCAAGUGCAAUGCUAAGACUGUUGUUAUAUAAAUGGAUUUGUAAAAACACCUUGUUAUGAAGGUUUCUUAAUGUUCCAGUUUAUAUUUAGCCAACAUUCAAGGGGUUUGAGUGGAAGUUUCUAUAUCGG